Molecule: non-coding RNA, 31 nt
Filed under: Homo sapiens (human)
Lineage: Eukaryota; Metazoa; Chordata; Mammalia; Primates; Hominidae
Source: RNAcentral
UGUCAUUUUCAGAGAGUCCCCUUAGGAUCGC